RNAcentral lists this ribosomal RNA (622 nucleotides) under uncultured bacterium. Its description in RNAcentral is "bacterial SSU rRNA". It matches the Rfam family "Bacterial small subunit ribosomal RNA", at positions 67 to 677 of the family's 1533-position model. The record is from RNAcentral.
CGGUACAGGAAGCAGCUUGCUGCUUCGCUGACGAGUGGCGGACGGGUGAGUAAUGUCUGGGAAACUGCCUGAUGGAGGGGGAUAACUACUGGAAACGGUAGCUAAUACCGCAUAACGUCGCAAGACCAAAGAGGGGGACCUUCGGGCCUCUUGCCAUCAGAUGUGCCCAGAUGGGAUUAGCUAGUAAGUGGGGUAACGGCUCACCUAAGCGACCAUCCCUAACUGGUCUGAAAAGAUGACCAACCCCACCUGAACUGAAAACCCGUCCCAAACUCUACCGGAAGCAACAGUGGGGAAUAUUGCACAAUGGGGCGCAAGCCUGAUGCAGCCAUGCCGCGUGUAUGAAGAAGGCCUUCGGGUUGUAAAGUACUUUCAGCGGGGAGGAAGGCGAUGCGGUUAAUAACCGCGUCGAUUGACGUUACCCGCAGAAGAAGCACCGGCUAACUCCGUGCCAGCAGCCGCGGUAAUACGGAGGGUGCAAGCGUUAAUCGGAAUUACUGGGCGUAAAGCGCACGCAGGCGGUCUGUCAAGUCGGAUGUGAAAUCCCCGGGCUCAACCUGGGAACUGCAUCCGAAACUGGCAGGCUUGAGUCUCGUAGAGGGGGGGUAGAAUUCCAGGUGUA